This 253-nucleotide ribosomal RNA is filed under the name uncultured bacterium. RNAcentral's name for it is "partial 16S ribosomal RNA". It matches the Rfam family "Bacterial small subunit ribosomal RNA", at positions 524 to 776 of the family's 1533-position model. The record is from RNAcentral.
UACGUAGGGGGCAAGCGUUAUCCGGAUUUACUGGGUGUAAAGGGAGCGUAGACGGCGAUGCAAGCCAGAUGUGAAAGCCCGGGGCUCAACCCCGGGACUGCAUUUGGAGCUGUGUGGCUGGAGUGUCGGAGAGGCAGGCGGAAUUCCUAGUGUAGCGGUGAAAUGCGUAGAUAUUAGGAGGAACACCAGUGGCGAAGGCGGCCUGCUGGACGAUGACUGACGUUGAGGCUCGAAAGCGUGGGGAGCAAACAGG